CUGAGGAAAAAUAGAUGGAGUAUAUAUCAAGCCAAAUUGGCAUUAUUGUGGUAAUCAUAGAUAAUACUUUUAGUAGUUGACAUUAUUUAUGCUAAAAUGAGAGGUAAUUAUUAUACAUAUACAUGUUUAUUGAGCCUUUAAUCAAAUAAAGGGGCAAAUUGUACUUCACUACUUGAAAAAUAGAAUUUUUGAGGUAAAUAGGAAGAAAAAAAAAUAAAGAAAAGAAAACUUCAUAUGACAAACAAUUUUUCUUAUUAUUUUACUAGACCCACUUUUGCCACUUCGAUCACUUGUAAUGGUAAGGAAUUUUUGCAAUGUGGACUGGCUCAAACGGUGUGGUUGAUGGCUUCAUUUGACAAGUUUGUCUCAUAAUCAGGUGACUCCUCUUUAGGUAUUUUAUAGUAGGAUGGUAGCGGUUCAUUAAAAAUCUCUGGCCAAUCAUCUUCUGGAUCUAACAUAGGAUCAUAUUCAAAUUUAUUAUCAUUCCUUUCACCAAUCACAGUGGUGAGCAUUAUCAUUCCAAGUAAAAGUAAUACUAAUGAAUAUUUAGAGCUCAUAUUUUGAUCAAAUUUUGAUUGACACACUGGAAAGAGUGAAACAAC
Molecule: long non-coding RNA, 602 nt
Filed under: Medicago truncatula (barrel medic)
Lineage: Eukaryota; Viridiplantae; Streptophyta; Magnoliopsida; Fabales; Fabaceae
Description: lncRNA gene40303
Source: RNAcentral